CUACGGGGCGCAGCAGUAAGGAAUAUUGCGCAAUGGAGGCAACUCUGACGCAGCCAUGCCGCGUGCAGGAAGAAGGCCUUAUGGGUCGUAAACUGCUUUUAUUUAGGAAUAAACCUCCGAACGUGUUCGGGGCUGAAGGUACUAAACGAAUAAGCACCGGCUAACUCCGUGCCAGCAGCCGCGGUAAUACGGAGGGUGCAAGCGUUAUCCGGAUUUAUUGGGUUUAAAGGGUGCGCAGGCGGGCUAUUAAGUCAGUGGUGAAAUCCCGGGGCUCAACUCCGGAACUGCCAUUGAUACUGAUAGUCUUGAGUUUGGUUGAAGUGGGCGGAAUGUAGCAUGUAGCGGUGAAAUGCAUAGAUAUGCUACAGAACACCAAUCGCGAAGGCAGCUCACUAAGCCAAAACUGACGCUCAUGCACGAAAGCGUGGGGAUCAAACAGGAUUAGAUACCCCAGUAGUC
This 459-nucleotide ribosomal RNA is filed under the name uncultured bacterium. Its description in RNAcentral is "partial 16S ribosomal RNA". It matches the Rfam family "Bacterial small subunit ribosomal RNA", at positions 339 to 795 of the family's 1533-position model. The record is from RNAcentral.